RNAcentral lists this ribosomal RNA (491 nucleotides) under uncultured bacterium. Its description in RNAcentral is "bacterial SSU rRNA". It matches the Rfam family "Bacterial small subunit ribosomal RNA", at positions 60 to 526 of the family's 1533-position model. The record is from RNAcentral.
AGUCGAGCGAGAAAAUCCCCGCAAGGGGAUGAGUACAGCGGCGAACGGGUGAGUAACACGUGGGCAACCUGCCCCUCAGUCAGGAAUAACCCCGCGAAAGCGGGGCUAAUACCAGGUGACGUCCCCUGGGGGCAUCCUCGGGGGACCAAAGGGGGCGAGCGAAAGCGGCUCUCGCUGAGGGAUGGGCCUGCGGCUGAUUAGCUAGUUGGUAGGGUAACGGCCUACCAAGGCGACGAUCAGUAGCCGACCUGAGAGGGUGACCGGCCACACUGGGACUGAGACACGGCCCAGACUCCUACGGGAGGCAGCAGUGGGGAAUAUUGCGCAAUGGGCGAAAGCCUGACGCAGCGACGCCGCGUGGGUGAUGAAGGCCUUCGGGUCGUAAAACCCUGUCGGGUGGAACGAAUCCCCCGCGGAAUAAUACUUCGCGGGGUUGACGGUACCACCGAAGGAAGCCCCGGCUAACUACGUGCCAGCAGCCGCGGUAAUAC